UGCGAAGGGUGCAAACGUUGCUCGGAAUUAUUGGGCGUAAAGCGCACGUAGGCGGCUUUGCAAGUCGGAUGUGAAAUCCCUCGGCUCAACCAAGGAAGUGCAUCCGAAACUGCAGAGCUUGAGUACCAAAGAGGAUCGCGGAAUUCCCGGUGUAGAGGUGAAAUUCGUAGAUAUCGGGAGGAACACCAGUGGCGAAGGCGGCGAUCUGGGUGGAUACUGACGCUGAGGUGCGAAAGCGUGGGGAGCAAACAGG
This 253-nucleotide ribosomal RNA is filed under the name uncultured bacterium. RNAcentral's name for it is "partial 16S ribosomal RNA". It matches the Rfam family "Bacterial small subunit ribosomal RNA", at positions 524 to 776 of the family's 1533-position model. The record is from RNAcentral.